UGGGUUGUGGCUCAGUGGUAGAGUGCUCGCCUAGCAUGUGUGAGGCCCUGGGUUCCAUCCUCAGCACCACAU
RNAcentral lists this transfer RNA (72 nucleotides) under Marmota marmota marmota (Alpine marmot). It matches the Rfam family "tRNA". From Rfam's summary of the family: Transfer RNA (tRNA) molecules are approximately 80 nucleotides in length. Their secondary structure includes four short double-helical elements and three loops (D, anti-codon, and T loops). Lineage: Eukaryota; Metazoa; Chordata; Mammalia; Rodentia; Sciuridae. The record is from Rfam by way of RNAcentral. RNAcentral also lists the same sequence under 1 other name.